RNAcentral lists this ribosomal RNA (1208 nucleotides) under metagenome. RNAcentral describes it as "bacterial SSU rRNA". It matches the Rfam family "Bacterial small subunit ribosomal RNA", at positions 272 to 1469 of the family's 1533-position model. The record is from RNAcentral.
GGCGACGAUGGGUAGCCGACCUGAGAGGGUGAUCGGCCACAUUGGGACUGAGAUACGGCCCAGACUCCUACGGGAGGCAGCAGUAGGGAAUUUUGCGCAAUGGACGAAAGUCUGACGCAGCAACUCCGCGUGAGGGAUGAAGGUCUUCGGAUUGUAAACCUCUGUUGAGUGGGAAGAAAAUUCUUAGUGAUAACAGCACUAAGAUCUGACGGUACCAUUCGAGGAAGCUCCGGCUAACUACGUGCCAGCAGCCGCGGUAAUACGUAGGGAGCUAGCGUUGUUCGGAAUUACUGGGCGUAAAGAGAACGUAGGCGGGGAAGUAAGUUAGAAGUGAAAUGUAUCGGCUCAACCGGUAACGUGCUUUUAAUACUGCUUUUCUUGAGUAUGGGAGAGGAAGAUGGAAUUCCAGGUGUAGCGGUGGAAUGCGUAGAUAUCUGGAAGAACACCAGUUGCGAAGGCGGUCUUCUGGCCCAAUACUGACGCUGAGGUUCGAAAGCUAGGGGAGCAAACAGGAUUAGAUACCCUGGUAGUCCUAGCCGUAAACGAUGGACACUAGAUGUCGGGGGUGUUGUGCCUUCGGCGUCGCAGCUAACGCAUUAAGUGUCCCGCCUGGGGAGUACGCUCGCAAGUGUGAAACUCAAAGGAAUUGACGGGGCCCGCACAAGCGGUGGAGCAGUGCUUCAAUUCGAUGCAACGCGAAGAACCUUACCUGGCCUUGACAUGGGAGUGGAAGCCACCAGAGAUGGAGGCCUUUCCUUCGGGAACAUUCCACACAGGUGCUGCAUGGUUGUCGUCAGCUCGUGUCGUGAGAUGUUGGGUUAAGUCCCGCAACGAGCGCAACCCCUGUCCUUAGUUGCCAUCAGGUCACGCUGGGAACUCUAAGGAGACUGCCUGGAUUAACCAGGAGGAAGGUGGGGAUGACGUCAAAUCCUCAUGGCCCUUACGGCCAGGGCUAGACACGUGCUACAAUGGGUGCUACAACGGGAUGCGAGAUCGUGAGGUUAAGCUAAUCCCUGAAAAGCACUCUCAGUUCGGAUUGGAGUCUGCAAUUCGACUCCAUGAAGUUGGAAUCGCUAGUAAUCGCGGAUCAGCAUGCCGCGGUGAAUACGUUCCCGGGCCUUGUACACACCGCCCGUCAAGCCAUGAAAGAUGGUAGUACCCGAAGUCGUUUACCUAACCGCAAGGAGGGAAACGCCUAAGGUAAGACC